CCCAGCGGAAGUGCGUGCAGUGACUUCCGCCGGCUGGGCUCUCUAUCCUGGUCCGGACGCUUGGAGGACCUUGGGGUUUCUUGGGGAACCUCGGACUCGUUAGCAGACCUUCAUGUGGCCGGCCUUUGCCUCCUGAGGUGCUUAUGGCUAGGCUGCUAGAGGCUCCCCGGAUUCUGUGGCUUAUUGUCUCCUGCUUCACCUCUGAACUGUAUUUCUGUUUUCAUCACAUUUCCUCUCCAGUGCCCCUCUCUGCCACCAUUAUGAACCCUUGUGAGCGCAUUGGGCCUACCUGGAUAUUUCAGGCACCUCUGCUAUUAGGGUCAGCUGAUUAGCACUGUGUUUUGUGUUUGGUUUCUUGUUUUGUUCUGAGGGAGGAUCUCACUAUGUAGUUAAGGCUGUUGGCCUUGAAGUCACUAUGUAGCUCAGGC
This 428-nucleotide long non-coding RNA is filed under the name Heterocephalus glaber (naked mole-rat). RNAcentral's name for it is "lncRNA (ENSHGLG00100052181.1)". The record is from RNAcentral. Lineage: Eukaryota; Metazoa; Chordata; Mammalia; Rodentia; Bathyergidae.